This 475-nucleotide ribosomal RNA is filed under the name uncultured bacterium. RNAcentral's name for it is "bacterial SSU rRNA". It matches the Rfam family "Bacterial small subunit ribosomal RNA", at positions 28 to 507 of the family's 1533-position model. The record is from RNAcentral.
GAUGAACGCUGGCGGCGUGCCUCAAACAUGCAAGUCGAGCGAGGCUAUGAGUUACCGCAAGGUAAGGCAUAGCCUAGCGGCGAACGGGUGAGUAACACGUGGGUAACCUACCUGGAAGACAGGGAUAACGAUUCGAAAGGGUCGCUAAUACCUGAUAAUAUCCAUCUGCCGGAUGGCGGAGGGAAGAAAGGGGAAACCCGCUUUCAGAUGGGCCCGCGUCCCAUCAGCUAGUUGGUAAGGUAAAGGCUUACCAAGGCGACGACGGGUAGCCGGUCUGAGAGGAUGUACGGCCACACUGGGACUGAGAUACGGCCCAGACUCCUACGGGAGGCAGCAGUUGGGAAUCUUAGGCAAUGGACGAAAGUCUGACCUAGCGACGCCGCGUGAGGGAAGAAGGCCUUCGGGUUGUAAACCUCUGUCAUGGGGGAAGAAGUAAGUGACGGUACCCCAAGAGGAAGCCCCUGCUAACUACGUG